CGGGGUGAGUAAUGUCUGGGAACUGCCUGAUGGAGGGGGAUAACUACUGGAAACGGUAGCUAAUACCGCAUAACGUCGCAAGACCAAAUGGGGGACCUUCGGGCCUCAUGCCAUAAGAUGUGCCCAGAUGGGAUUAGCUAGUAGGUGGGGUAACGGCUCACCUAGGCGACGAUCCCUAGCUGGUCUGAGAGGAUGACCAGCCACACUGGAACUGAGACACGGUCCAG
This 227-nucleotide ribosomal RNA is filed under the name uncultured bacterium. RNAcentral's name for it is "partial 16S ribosomal RNA". It matches the Rfam family "Bacterial small subunit ribosomal RNA", at positions 104 to 334 of the family's 1533-position model. The record is from RNAcentral.